AGUAUUGCUUAGUGUGAAGAUUUAUAAGGACUGUCACUUGAACAUUCAACACCCGCAUAACCACACGAGCGACGGAUUAGUCUUCACUCAGAGUACAAUAUCUCUCCCUCUUUAUCUUUAUCCACCAACCAGCUUGGCGAACGCUGACAAGUCGACAUGGCAUGGAUGUCACUAACGCCCCCGUUUGCUGGCGUCCGUCUGCCGAGGGCAAUCGCUCCCUUGCCGUAAUUGUUCGGGCAAUGGUGAUAUAACGUGUAUGAUCUUGGGGGAAGUCACAGCCCACGAGAUCUGGCGAUUUGGGUAGAUGUGGCACAGCGUUAUCCCAGGGUGUUGCCAAACCACGCCAUUACGACUAUGUUCACGACAAAAGGGGUUCGCAUCCCUUACGGCAGUUAUGCUACGUGUGCGCAUGUUGACGCUCACCUGCGGAGGGAUAAGCGACGCUGGGCAUGGCGGUCAGGGUGGAAAGAUCAAGAUUACGAAGCAUUUUUACAACCAUAAGAAGAGGCCUGUGGAGUGUCAUGAGAAACUCGUAUAGCAGAAGAGUCCAGGUGAACGUUUGCCUUCAUACUAAUUGAACCCAGUGCUGUGCUGCUAAAACCGAAAAAAAAUUUGAUUAAAAUAAGACAAAAGGCUACGCUCUCUGUGGAAUUAGGUGUUAUUCAGUGUGAAGUGAAGAUUAUA
Molecule: long non-coding RNA, 684 nt
Organism: Penaeus chinensis
Lineage: Eukaryota; Metazoa; Arthropoda; Malacostraca; Decapoda; Penaeidae
Exons: 3
Source: RefSeq, a predicted model, not a curated record